UGCUGCUCUGAAUUUCUCCUGUCGUGUACCAUGACUCCUUUUUGAUCCUCGUCUCCCAGGCAGGGGCAGCCACAUCAGUCCUGCAGCUCACAGGUCCUCCAGUAAUGAAACUGGGGACAGGUUUAGCUGCACACAUGG
Small nucleolar RNA from Poecile atricapillus (Black-capped chickadee), 138 nucleotides. RefSeq annotates it as small nucleolar RNA SNORA5. NCBI's taxonomy places the organism in Eukaryota, Metazoa, Chordata, Aves, Passeriformes, Paridae. The record is from RefSeq and is a predicted model, not a curated record. The transcript has a single exon.